This 575-nucleotide ribosomal RNA is filed under the name uncultured bacterium. RNAcentral describes it as "bacterial SSU rRNA". It matches the Rfam family "Bacterial small subunit ribosomal RNA", at positions 91 to 653 of the family's 1533-position model. The record is from RNAcentral.
GCGAGCGGCGGACGGGUGAGUAACACGUGGGUAACCUGCCCAAGAGACUGGGAUAACACCUGGAAACAGAUGCUAAUACCGGAUAACAACACUAGACGCAUGUCUAGAGUUUGAAAGAUGGUUCUGCUAUCACUCUUGGAUGGACCUGCGGUGCAUUAGCUAGUUGGUAAGGUAACGGCUUACCAAGGCAAUGAUGCAUAGCCGAGUUGAGAGACUGAUCGGCCACAUUGGGACUGAGACACGGCCCAAACUCCUACGGGAGGCAGCAGUAGGGAAUCUUCCACAAUGGACGAAAGUCUGAUGGAGCAACGCCGCGUGAGUGAAGAAGGGUUUCGGCUCGUAAAGCUCUGUUGGUAGUGAAGAAAGAUAGAGGUAGUAACUGGCCUUUAUUUGACGGUAAUUACUUACAAAGUCACGGCUAACUACGUGCCAGCAGCCGCGGUAAUACGUAGGUGGCAAGCGUUGUCCGGAUUUAUUGGGCGUAAAGCGAGUGCAGGCGGUUCAAUAAGUCUGAUGUGAAAGCCUUCGGCUCAACCGGAGAAUUGCAUCAGAAACUGUUGAACUUGAUUGCAGAA